UGGGUGAAUGAUAAAAUUGUAUUUGGAACCAAGGAUUAUGAAUAAUCAAAUUCUGUGUAUUUGAGCUCUAAA
RNAcentral lists this small nucleolar RNA (72 nucleotides) under Choloepus hoffmanni (Hoffmann's two-fingered sloth). RNAcentral's name for it is "Small nucleolar RNA SNORD112 (ENSCHOG00000015822.1)". Lineage: Eukaryota; Metazoa; Chordata; Mammalia; Pilosa; Megalonychidae. The record is from RNAcentral.